GAUGAACGCUGGCGGCGUGCCUAAUACAUGCAAGUCGAGCGAACAGACGAGGAGCUUGCUCCUCGGACGAUAGCGGCGGACGGGUGAGUAACACGUGGAUAACCUACCUAUAAGACUGGGAUAACUUCGGGAAACCGGAGCGAAUACCGGAUAAUAUAUUGAACCGCAUGGGUCAAUAGUGAAAGACGGUUUUGCUGUCACUUAUAGAUGUAUCCGCGCCGCAUGAGCGAGUUGGUAAGGUAACGGCUUACCAAGGCAACGAUGCGUAGCCGCCCUCAGAGGGUGCUCGGCCACACUGGCACUGAGACACGGUCCAGACUCCUACGGGAGGCAGCAGUAGCGAAUCUUCCGCAAUGGGCGAAAGCCUGACGGAGCAACGCCGCGUGAGUGAUGAAGGUCUUCGGAUCGUAAAACUCUGUUAGUAGGGAAGAACAAAUGUGUAAGUAACUAUGCACGUCUUGACGGUACCUAAUCAGAAAGCCACGGCUAACUACGUG
Molecule: ribosomal RNA, 497 nt
Filed under: uncultured bacterium
Lineage: Bacteria
Description: partial 16S ribosomal RNA
Rfam family: Bacterial small subunit ribosomal RNA
Source: RNAcentral